RNAcentral lists this long non-coding RNA (582 nucleotides) under Capsicum annuum. RNAcentral's name for it is "long non-coding RNA (CANN_LNC002769)". The record is from RNAcentral. Lineage: Eukaryota; Viridiplantae; Streptophyta; Magnoliopsida; Solanales; Solanaceae.
GUGGGGCUCUUUCGAUUCACUAGCAUAGUUUCCUUGUCAUUUAUCUCAUUUUCUAGUUCAAAACACAAAAACAAUCAAAGUCUAGUGAAGCCAUGUGAGGCCUUUUUUGAUUCACUAGCAAUUUAUUGUUCUUGUGUUGGUUGAAUAUAUGUAUAGCCAAAUCUUUUCACAUGAAAUUGAGUUGGUAAUGAAGUGAUACGUCCUUGUGUGUUAGUUUAGUAGGAGGUAGAGGGGGAGUUAUUAGUUAGGUGAAUUGUUGUCUACUUGAAGUAUUAAAAUGGCUAGAUGAGCAAGUAAGUUAUAAUUAUAGGCUCCUGGUUGUUGUGGAAUUUGAAGGUAGUCUAAAUGUAUGCUUGGGUAAGUAAGUGUGAUGUGAGAAAGACGUAUAAGUAGAUAAGAUUGUAUGGGGUUAUGAUAUGAGAUUAAGGUUGACCAUGUCUAUUAUGUGACUUUACACCCCCCUCCCCCGGACCUUUUUUUCGUUGGUAGUUGUAAACUAGUACUACUUGUGAGAAGGUAUGUAGUAGAUUUUUUGAGGUAUUUGGAUAGAAUGUCCCAAUUUGAUGGACUAGUAUAUUAUGU